RNAcentral lists this ribosomal RNA (486 nucleotides) under uncultured bacterium. RNAcentral describes it as "partial 16S ribosomal RNA". It matches the Rfam family "Bacterial small subunit ribosomal RNA", at positions 30 to 507 of the family's 1533-position model. The record is from RNAcentral.
AUUGAACGCUGGCGGCAUGCCUUACACAUGCAAGUCGAACGGCAGCACGGGUGCUUGCACCUGGUGGCGAGUGGCGAACGGGUGAGUAAUACAUCGGAACAUGUCCUGUAGUGGGGGAUAGCCCGCCGAAAGCCGGAUUAAUACCGCAUACGAUCUACGGAUGAAAGCGGGGGCCUUUCGGGCCUCGCGCUAUAGGGUUGGCCGAUGGCUGAUUAGCUAGUUGGUGGGGUAAAGGCCUACCAAGGCGACGAUCAGUAGCUGGUCUGAGAGGACGACCAGCCACACUGGGACUGAGACACGGCCCAGACUCCUACGGGAGGCAGCAGUGGGGAAUUUUGGACAAUGGGCGAAAGCCUGAUCCAGCAAUGCCGCGUGUGUGAAGAAGGCCUUCGGGUUGUAAAGCACUUUUGUCCGGAAAGAAAUCCUUGGCCCUAAUACGGUCGGGGGAUGACGGUACCGGAAGAAUAAGCACCGGCUAACUACGUG